GACGAACGCUGGCGGCGUGCUUAACACAUGCAAGUCGAACGGACAGACCCGGCUUUUGUGGGUUGCUCGAGUGGCGAACGGGUGAGUAACACGUGAGUAACCUGCCCUUGACUUUGGGAUAACUUCAGGAGACUGGGGCUAAUACCGGGUAGGAGCUCCUGCUGCAUGUUGGGGGUUGGAAAGUUUCGGCGGUUGGGGAUGGACUCGCGGCUUAUCAGCUUGUUGGUGGGGUAGUGGCUGUCCAAGGCUUUGACGGGUAGCCGGCCUGAGAGGGUGACCGGGCACAUUGGGACUGAGAUACGGAGCAGACUCCUACGGGAGGCAGCAGGGGGGAAUAUUGCACAAUGGGCGGAAGCCUGAUGCAGCAACGCCGCGUGCGGGAUGACGGCCUUCGGGUUGUAAACCGCUUUCGCCUGUGACGAAGCGUGAGUGACGGUAAUGGGUAAAGAAGCACCGGCUAACUACGUG
RNAcentral lists this ribosomal RNA (468 nucleotides) under uncultured bacterium. RNAcentral describes it as "partial 16S ribosomal RNA". It matches the Rfam family "Bacterial small subunit ribosomal RNA", at positions 28 to 507 of the family's 1533-position model. The record is from RNAcentral.